GGGGUUCUAGCUCAUCGGUAGAGCGCUCGCUUAGCAUCGACCUAGGUGUCUGCGAGAGGUACAGGAUUCGACUCCCUGGUACUCCA
Molecule: non-coding RNA, 86 nt
Organism: Puccinia graminis f. sp. tritici CRL 75-36-700-3
Lineage: Eukaryota; Fungi; Basidiomycota; Pucciniomycetes; Pucciniales; Pucciniaceae
Source: the annotation of a RefSeq genome assembly